UACGUAGGGCGCAAGCGUUAUCCGGAAUUAUUGGGCGUAAAGAGCUCGUAGGCGGUUUGUCGCGUCUGCCGUGAAAGUCCGGGGCUCAACUCCGGAUCUGCGGUGGGUACGGGCAGACUAGAGUGAUGUAGGGGAGACUGGAAUUCCUGGUGUAGCGGUGAAAUGCGCAGAUAUCAGGAGGAACACCGAUGGCGAAGGCAGGUCUCUGGGCGAUUAACUGACGCUGAGGAGCGAAAGCAUGGGGAGCGAACAGG
RNAcentral lists this ribosomal RNA (254 nucleotides) under uncultured bacterium. RNAcentral describes it as "partial 16S ribosomal RNA". It matches the Rfam family "Bacterial small subunit ribosomal RNA", at positions 524 to 776 of the family's 1533-position model. The record is from RNAcentral.